AUUGUGCAACACAUAUUCAGUUUGCAAACCAGCCUCCAAGUAUAGAUGAGUCACACACCGUGUUUCCCAAUCCUUUUCAUUCACUCCAGCAGACAACAAUGUUUCAGCAAGUUUUCCUCCGUCAUUUGCAACAAGAGUUUGCAUAGGAGCUGCUUGGCCAUCUUCCUCCCCAACAUCUGGCUCCAGGUUCACAGCUUCCAGGCUAGCGUUCCUGGGUCUCCUAGCUUCCAGUCCAACGUCACUGCCAGUGCCGGCUCCCCGCACCAGGCCGCCAACGUCGCCACCAGUGCCAGCUCACCGCACCAGGCCGCCGGCUUGCCAGAGCCCUCUUCGUCUGGCCCGCCAAGGAAGUCCGCCUCACCUGCUCCGCCUCAUGGGAGGCCGCCGGACGCCUGCUCCUCGUCUGAGCGUCGGUCCCUCGACCUGCAGACCGCCCGACCAGCUCUCUCCAGUCCUGUAUGGCCUGCCGCUCGGCAUUGUUCCCCAGUCUGGUUUUUGGGGUAACAUUUUGUAUUUGCAUUUUUGUAACAGGAGGUUUUUAAACUCAAUUCUAGAUUUUACAGGAAGCCAAUGAAGGGAAGCCAAUACUGAAGAAAGAUGCUCUCUCCUGUUAGUACCUGUUAGUAUUCGAGCUGCAGCAUUUUGAAUUAACUGGAAAGUUUUUAGUUAGUAACUAGGACAUCCUGAAUGUAGGGAGUUACAAUAAUCUAAUCUGGAUGUAACAAAUGCAUGGAUUAAUUUUUCAGCAUCACUCUGGGCCAAGAUAUUCCUGAUAUACCUAUUGGUCCCAAAACUGAACCUUGUGGAACUCCAUGAUUAACUCUGGCAUGCACUGAGGAGAGAUUAUUAACAUGAACAAAGUGGGUUCUGUCUGAUAGGUAGGAUUUAAACCAACCCAGCUAUGUUUCUUUAAUCCCAAAAACACUUUCCAGUCUCUGCAGCAGUAGAUGAUGAUCCACUGUAUCGAAGGCUGCACUGAGAUCUAAGAGCACCAGAGCUGAGACCAACCCUCUGUCUGAUGUUAAGAGGAGAUCAUUGGUUACUUUUACAAAGUGUCAUCAUGCGGACACGUGUUUUUGACAGUAAGAUAGAACUUAUUGAAUGAACCAGGCUCUACAUCCAAAAUGUGAUAAUGAUUUUGAACUUUCAAGCCUUCUCGAGAGGUUUCUUCUUCUGUGCAGCCCACAACAGCUAGGAACUUGUUGUCUCUGUAUUUGAUUCAGAUUCAGAAUACUUUAUUUAUCCCUGAGGGAAAAUUCAGUUUCAGUUACAUCCCGUCCAAGAAACAUGAACAAACAAUCACAUAUAACAUGGGAGUACAGGAGCGGGAGUACUGUGAGUUGCCACAAAGGCAGUGCCUCUUAGAUGGGAAGUGGAAAACAGGAGGUAAGAAGAGGGGGAAAAGGCAGGUCCCAAACUAUGCUCCUUUAGUGAGGGGCACAAUGUGGCAUUAGGGAAAAAAAUUCCUUGGCACACACAGAAGUGCCAAAAAAGCCACUGGGGG
This 1504-nucleotide long non-coding RNA is filed under the name Gouania willdenowi (blunt-snouted clingfish). RNAcentral describes it as "lncRNA (ENSGWIG00000013046.1)". Lineage: Eukaryota; Metazoa; Chordata; Actinopteri; Blenniiformes; Gobiesocidae. The record is from RNAcentral.